UUGUUUGUGAUUGCUUGGAUUCCAUAUGUGCCCUUGCUUUCAAUUCCUUUCAAACCUGAAUAUAAUUGUGAAAGAUUAUUGCUUACUUCGGAUUGACUCGUAAAGGCACAUGUACGUUUUGUUGUUCCGCGUGUGCUUCCGAUAUGUGCUAUUCAUUGUUCAUACUAUCCUUUUGUACUCUGGUGUUUGUAGGAUAUUGUGAACCUUCGCCAGAAAUGAUGAAGGGAGUUAUGCAUAGAGCCUAAGAUGCUCUGUCGGCCCCCUAUGACUUCACUCAGACGUGGGUGGAUGGAGCUCCCAGACGUGGGAGACCUCCCAGACAUGGGAGACUUAUGUUUGGUGGUCAUUCAGAAAUGGAUGUAUCAUAUUAUGUUAUGGUCCCACUUCACCUUCUGUAUGUUUGAUAUGAUAUCCAAAGCUUUGGUUAUGUGUUUCUAUACAUGCUUUGGAUAAGAAUGAUAUGAAUGCAACGUCAAAGACGACGUUUGAGCUUCUGUUUAGUAUUUGUUAUUG
RNAcentral lists this long non-coding RNA (513 nucleotides) under Musa acuminata (dwarf banana). RNAcentral's name for it is "long non-coding RNA (MACU_LNC002770)". Lineage: Eukaryota; Viridiplantae; Streptophyta; Magnoliopsida; Zingiberales; Musaceae. The record is from RNAcentral.